This 1306-nucleotide long non-coding RNA is filed under the name Struthio camelus australis. RNAcentral's name for it is "lncRNA (ENSSCUG00000018234.1)". Lineage: Eukaryota; Metazoa; Chordata; Aves; Struthioniformes; Struthionidae. The record is from RNAcentral.
NNNNNNNNNNNNNNNNNNNNNGGCUGGUGGCAUCCAAGCCGCUGAAGGAGAGAUCCCUGUGCCAGUCUCUUAGUGUUUCUCUGGGCUCCGGGGGCUCCUGCAGGUCCCUGGACCUAAUUUCACUGGCCCAGGGUGCCGGGCUGUCCGACGAAGCUCCAACCCUGGAGGGAUCCGGCACCCGGUCUGUCCCGAUGAUGCCGAAUUGGUUCUGGCGCUCAGCUCCGCCAAGGCCGAGCUCUUCACCCCAGUCCCUGCUACCGAUAGCACCGCUCUCCUGCUUGUCGGAGCUGCUCCAGCCAGGCUCUCGAGCUGGGUGAUCAGGGGCACGGGCCCCAGGCAAGUCUCCUUUUCCGACACCGAAAGCAUUUGCUGGCUCGGUUUGGCCAACGCUGCGUUCAUCAGCCCAGCUCAGCCGGCCGGCACUGAACUCUCUAUCUUCCUUUUGGGAGGUUGUAGAGCUGUAGUCACUGGCCCAGGCUGGUCUGCUGGGGCUGAACUCCCUGUGCUGCGUCUCCAUAUCCCUGGGGCCGUAUUCGCUAUCCCAGGCUGGUCGGCUGGGGCUGAACUCCCUGUCCUGGCUCUCCAUGCCCCUGGGGCUGUAUUCGCUGGCCUCAGCUGGUCUGCUGGGGCUAAACUCCCUGUGCUGCGUCUCCACGUCCCUGGGGCCGUAUUCAUCAGCCCAGGCUGGUCGGCUGGGGCUGAACUCCCUGUCCUGGCUUUCCAUGUCCCUGGGGCUGUAUUUGCUAUCCCAGGCUGGUCUGCUGGGGCUAAACUCCCUGUCCUGGCUCUCCAUCUCCUUGGCGCUGUAUUUGCUGGCCUCAGCUGGUCUGCUGGGGCUAAACUCCCUGUCCUGGCUCUCCAUAUCCCUGGCGCUGUACUCACCAGGCCAGGCUGGUCGGCUAGGGCUGAACUCCCUGUCCUGGCUCUCCAUAUCCCUGGCACUGUAUUUGCUAUCCCACGUUGGUCUGCUGGGGCUGAACUCCCUGUCCUGGCUCUCCAUGUCCUUAGUGUUGUAUUUGCUGUCCCAGGCUGGCCUGUUGGGGCAAAACUCCUUCUCCGGGGUCCCAGUGUCCCCAGUGCUGGAUCUGCCAGCCCAGCCCAGCGUAAAAUCCUCACCCUUGGUCUCGGCGUCCCUCUUGCUGUAGUUACUGGCCCAGUCUGGGGUGAUCUCCCUGUCCUUGAUUUCUGCGUCACCGUUGCCAUACUCGCCAGCCCAAGCAGGUGUGACGUCCCCGUCCUGGGUCUCCGCGUCCCCAGAGCUGUAUCUGCCAGCCCAACUAGGCUGCCUGGAGCUCAGCUCCUUGCC